Molecule: long non-coding RNA, 701 nt
Filed under: Physcomitrium patens
Lineage: Eukaryota; Viridiplantae; Streptophyta; Bryopsida; Funariales; Funariaceae
Description: long non-coding RNA (PPAT_LNC009793)
Source: RNAcentral
AUCCUAACUCUAAUAGAAUACUAAUUAAACUCUAAUUAGACCAUAAUAAUGUUAAGCAAGCUUUAAUGAAAUUCAAAAAAAUUUCAAAGGAAUUACAAAGAAAUAAUAAGAAAUCAUAGAAAAAUAUUAGAAUGAUUACAAAAAUAUUUCAAAUACUUCUCAAUUCAAUCCUAAUUUAAUCCUAGUUAAAAUCCUAUUAGAUUUCAAUCAAACUUUAGACCAAAAAUUAACUAAAUUUUAAACCCUAAAUAAACUCAAAUAAAAUCCUAAAUCCUAAAUCAAAUCCUAAUCAAAUCCUAAAUCCUAAAUCAAAUCCUAAUCAAUCCUAAAUCAAAUCAUAAAUCUGAAACCAAAUCCUAAUCAAAUCUUAAUCAUAAACCAAAUCCUAACCAAAUCCUAAUCCUAAAUCAAAUCCUAACAAAACCCUAAAUCUUAAACCAAAUCCUAAUCCUAAAUCAAAUCUUAACCAACUCUAAUCCUAAAUCAAAUCUUAAUCAAAUUCUAAUCCUAAAUCAAAUCCUAAUCAAAUCCUAAACCAAAUCCUAAAUCCUAAAUCAAACCCUAGUAAUUCCUACAAUAGAUUUACACCUCAAUAAUUAAUAAAUGAACCAUUGAUCUUAAUUAAAAAUUUACAAGUUUUUUAACAAUUAAUUUGACAACAAGCACAAAAAAAUUUGAAAAGGAUGAAAAUUACUAAAUAG